This 366-nucleotide ribosomal RNA is filed under the name uncultured Eubacteriales bacterium. RNAcentral's name for it is "bacterial SSU rRNA". It matches the Rfam family "Bacterial small subunit ribosomal RNA", at positions 529 to 896 of the family's 1533-position model. The record is from RNAcentral. Lineage: Bacteria; Bacillati; Bacillota; Clostridia; Eubacteriales.
AGGGGGCAAGCGUUGUCCGGAAUUAUUGGGCGUAAAGAGUACGUAGGCGGUCUGUUAAGCGCAAGGUGAAAGGCAUAGGCUCAACCAAUGUGAGCCUUGCGAACUGGCAGACUUGAGUGCAGGAGAGGAAAGCGGAAUUCCUAGUGUAGCGGUGAAAUGCGUAGAUAUUAGGAGGAACACCGGUGGCGAAGGCGGCUUUCUGGACUGAAACUGACGCUGAGGUACGAAAGCGUGGGGAGCAAACAGGAUUAGAUACCCUGGUAGUCCACGCUGUAAACGAUGAGCACUAGGUGUCGGGGUCGAAAGACUUCGGUGCCGCAGUUAACGCAAUAAGUGCUCCGCCUGGGGAGUACGCACGCAAGUGUG